AUGGAGACGGCGGCAGUCCCCUCCAGCAAGCGCGCCCGCCUCGGCGGCUCCGACCGGCUAAGCGACCUGCCAGACUGCCUCCUGCACGACAUCCUGUCCCUCCUCGGGUGCCGGCAGGCCGUGCGGACGAGCGCGCUCUCGCGUCGGUGGAGGCAGCUCUGGCGCUUCAUGACCUGCCUCAACAUCGACCAGCGCGAGUUCCAGCGCCCCGGCGUCCCACCGCCAUUAGACGUGUGCCAGUGGGACAGCUUCGAAGACAUGGCCGACAGCCUGCUGUCGUCGUCGAUCACCGCCCCAUCGGCGCCGCUGGACGCGUUCCGCCUGCACUUGGUCGACGGCAGCAGGAAGACGGCCUUCGACAGGUGGAUCCGCCGCGGGCUCGCGCGCCGGCCGGCUGCGGUCGACAUACACUACGGCUGCGCCUACGUCGGCGGGGUCUGCUGGCCGGACACGUCGCGCUUGGCCUCCGGCGCUACCUGCCGCCUCACAAGGCUCCGUCUCUUCGGCGUCCAGCUGAGCCCUAGUUUCGGGCGGGAUCUCGACGACCAGUGCCCCGUCCUCGAGGACCUGCACAUCGAGAACUGCAGAGAAGAUUUCUGCUACGUCGCAUCUCCCUCGCUCAAGAGCUUCGCGCUCGUCAGCCCCUCCGAUGAUUUCUACUACAGGUGCUCCGCUCUUGUCCUAGCGUUUCCUCGCCUAGCCUCGUUGCGCCUCGUGCUCCCGUUCGGCAGCCACCGUGGCUACCCCGUCGUCACUUCUAAGAACGAGGUGCUGGCAUCGCUCGUCCAGGCAUCCAUCUGUAUAAAGGACAUGGAUGACGAGGUGCAGCGGAACAGGCGGGUGAUGAAGCCACACAAGCUUGAUUUCUUGAAGUCCAUGUGCAACUUCCUCGCCUGCAUCCCCAAUGUCAGAAAUCUACACCUCUCGGGGUUUACCACGACAGUAUGUAUCAAUUCUAGCUCCCACCGUGUCUUUGAAAUUUGA
RNAcentral lists this ribosomal RNA (984 nucleotides) under Triticum aestivum (bread wheat). RNAcentral's name for it is "partial small subunit ribosomal RNA". The record is from RNAcentral. Lineage: Eukaryota; Viridiplantae; Streptophyta; Magnoliopsida; Poales; Poaceae.